Small nuclear RNA from Pyrus x bretschneideri (Chinese white pear), 102 nucleotides. NCBI's taxonomy places the organism in Eukaryota, Viridiplantae, Streptophyta, Magnoliopsida, Rosales, Rosaceae. The record is from RefSeq and is a predicted model, not a curated record.
UUCCCUUCGGGGUCAUCCAAUAAAAUUAGAACGAUAUAGAGAAGAUUAGCAUGGUUCCUAUGCAAGAUGACAUGCAUAAAUCGAGAAAUGGUCUAAAUUAUU